GUCCACGCCGUAAACGAUGCACACUAGACGUCGGAGGUUCUGACACUGCCGGCGUUGGCGUAAAAACAUUAAGUGUGCCGCCUGGGGAGUACGGCCGCAAGGCUAAAACUCAAAAGGAAUUGACGGGGGCUCACACAAGCGGUGGAGCAUGUGGCUUAAUUCGAAGCAACGCGAAGAACCUUACCCGGGUUUGACAUGCUUGGAUGCCUCCUGGGGAUAACUCAGGUUGGCUGCCCGCAAGGGUGAAACUUGCACAGGUGUUGCAUGGCUGUCGU
Molecule: ribosomal RNA, 275 nt
Filed under: uncultured bacterium
Lineage: Bacteria
Description: partial 16S ribosomal RNA
Rfam family: Bacterial small subunit ribosomal RNA
Source: RNAcentral